UACGUAGGGUGCAAGCGUUGUCCGGAAUUAUUGGGCGUAAAGAGCUUGUAGGCGGUUUGUCGCGUCUGCUGUGAAAUUUCGGGGCUCAACCCCGAACUUGCAGUGGGUACGGGCAGACUAGAGUGUGGUAGGGGAGACUGGAAGUUCCUGGUGUAGCGGUGAAAUGCGCAGAUAUCAGGAGGAACACCGGUGGCGAAGGCGGGAUCCUGGGCCAGUACUGACGCUGAGGAGCGAAAGCGUGGGGAGCAAACAGG
RNAcentral lists this ribosomal RNA (254 nucleotides) under uncultured bacterium. Its description in RNAcentral is "partial 16S ribosomal RNA". It matches the Rfam family "Bacterial small subunit ribosomal RNA", at positions 524 to 776 of the family's 1533-position model. The record is from RNAcentral.